RNAcentral lists this long non-coding RNA (1029 nucleotides) under Olea europaea (common olive). RNAcentral describes it as "long non-coding RNA (OEUR_LNC006291)". Lineage: Eukaryota; Viridiplantae; Streptophyta; Magnoliopsida; Lamiales; Oleaceae. The record is from RNAcentral.
ACGCAUACUCCUCACAGUUUUAUAUUCCAUAAAUGUACAAAUUGUAACAAGUAAUAAAAUGAGCUUAAGAGUCCAGAUAAUCGUUCUCACGGGAAUUAUUAUAUAAUUAUUGGUUCAAUUAUUUCUAACUUCGAUCGAAAACUAAUAGAAGUAGCUAUUACCACUUGAUAUAGCCAAUAAUUGCCAAUAUUAUCUUCUAAUAAGGUCGGCUUUAGUGGCUUACCAAUAUCAUUACAUUAAUAAUUACCCUCAAAAGCAAAUAGUCACAAUCACCAUUAAAUUCACUAGGAAAAUACCAUUACAUAGAGCUCAAUCCCAGACUCGGCAAAUAUGGAUUUUUGUUACGAAGAAAGCCUCCACUACUUUGCCUUCAAUGGAAUCCGGUUUACAAGACCAGAACUCACAUCUGCGUAAAUUUUAAGGAAAAUCCUGGUUCACAAUGACUUCAAAAUGCAGAGUAGAGAAAAAGCACUAUCCCACUAGUUGCACAAUGGAAGAGAGAAGCAUCUAUAAUUCAGAUAAAAGAAGCAGCAGUGUUGCUCAUUAUAUAGUAAUUCUCGAAAACUAACCUGUUGUUAUUCCGACAAGUCUCUUGGUCUCUUUGUUAAGGAUUUCCGUAUACAAGUUACGCAUACAAGGUCUAUCUUCAAUAACAAAACCAACUUUCAACAUAUGUGAAUUAUAUUCACUUGGGUAAAAAUGUAUUUUUGCACUACAUGUCCACAACUGAAAGAUUCCAGCAUCUCAUAGAUUGUGAACAGCGUUUUUUUUGUUGGGGGGGGGGGGGGGGGGGGGGUUCAAUCCUUCACAGUCGAACCCCAAACUCCCGGAUCUCCCUCAUCACCCACACGUAAAAUAAGACAGUAAGAAAAUUAAGGUGUGGUUGGUUUGCCGUUUUCGGCUCAUUUUCCGUUUUUCGUUUUCGAAAAUGCGGAAAAUGCGUUUGGUUCGUCAUUUUCGAAAACACAUUUUCGAAAACGAGUUAAAAUUUAUAACUGAAAAUGCAGAACGACUUUUUAUCGUUUUCAG